GCAAGCCUGAUGCAGCCAUGCCGCGUGUAUGAAGAAGGCCUUCGGGUUGUAAAGUACUUUCAGCAGUGAGGAAGGUGGGUAUGUUAAUAGCAUAUUCAUUUGACGUUAGCUGCAGAAGAAGCACCGGCUAACUCCGUGCCAGCAGCCGCGGUAAUACGGAGGGUGCGAGCGUUAAUCGGAAUUACUGGGCGUAAAGCGCAUGCAGGUGGUUUGUUAAGUCAGAUGUGAAAGCCCGGGGCUCAACCUCGGAAUUGCAUUUGAAACUGGCAAACUAGAGUACUGUAGAGGGGGUAGAAUUUCAGGUGUAGCGGUGAAAUGCGUAGAGAUCUGAAGGAAUACCGGUGGCGAAGGCGGCCCCCUGGACAGAUACUGACACUCAGAUGCGAAAGCGUGGGGAGCAAACAGGAUUAGAUACCCUGGUAG
RNAcentral lists this ribosomal RNA (423 nucleotides) under uncultured bacterium. RNAcentral describes it as "bacterial SSU rRNA". It matches the Rfam family "Bacterial small subunit ribosomal RNA", at positions 377 to 793 of the family's 1533-position model. The record is from RNAcentral.